GGUUUUUUGAAUUAUAAUUUAAGAUUAGUUCUGCUCAAUGAUUUGAAAUUAAAUAGCCGCAGUAUUUUGACUGUGCUAAGGUAGCAUAAUCAAUUGUUUUUUAAUUAAGAACUGGAAUGAAGGAAUUGAUGAGAUUAAGACUGUCUAGUAUAAAAUGUUAAAAUUUAAAUUUUAAGUAAUAAUUCUUAAAUAAAGUUAUGGGACGAGAAGACCCUAUAGAAUUUGAUAUAAUUUUUUAAAAUAAGUAUAAAAUAAGAUUUAAUAAAAUUAAUAUUUUAUUGGGAGGAUAAUUAAAUUAAAUUAACUUUAAAAUUAAAAUUAAACAUUAAUUUAUGAUAAUAGUUGAAUAAUUUUAUAAUAAUAAUUAAAAUUAAUUAAAAAUUAAUUACCUUAGGGAUAACAGCGUAAUAUUUUUAAAAAGAUCAUAUUGAUAAAAGUGUUUGCGACCUCGAUGUUGAAUUAAAAUAAAAAUUAAAUGAAGAAGUUUAAUAUUUUAGUCUGUUCGACUAUUAAAAUUUUA
RNAcentral lists this ribosomal RNA (520 nucleotides) under Lasius japonicus. RNAcentral describes it as "partial 16S ribosomal RNA". Lineage: Eukaryota; Metazoa; Arthropoda; Insecta; Hymenoptera; Formicidae. The record is from RNAcentral.